GAUGAACGCUGGCGGCGUGCCUAAUACAUGCAAGUCGAGCGAACAGAUGAGAAGCUUGCUUCUCUGAUGUUAGCGGCGGACGGGUGAGUAACACGUGGGUAACCUACCUAUAAGACUGGGAUAACUCCGGGAAACCGGGGCUAAUACCGGAUAAUAUUUUGAACCGCAUGGUUCAAUAGUGAAAGACGGUUUCGGCUGUCACUUAUAGAUGGACCCGCGCCGUAUUAGCUAGUUGGUAAGGUAACGGCUUACCAAGGCGACGAUACGUAGCCGACCUGAGAGGGUGACGGGCCACACUGGAACAGAGACACGGGCCAGACUCCUACGGGAGGCAGCAGUAGGGAAUCUUCCGCAAUGGGCGAAGGCCUGACGGAGCAACGCCGCGUGAGUGAUGAAGGUCUUCGGAUCGUAAAACUCUGUUGUUAGGGAAGAACAAAUUUGUUAGUAACUGAACAAGUCUUGACGGUACCUAACCAGAAAGCCACGGCUAACUACGUGCCAGCAGCCGCCGUAA
This 514-nucleotide ribosomal RNA is filed under the name uncultured bacterium. RNAcentral's name for it is "partial 16S ribosomal RNA". It matches the Rfam family "Bacterial small subunit ribosomal RNA", at positions 28 to 523 of the family's 1533-position model. The record is from RNAcentral.